AUUGAACGCUGGCGGCAUGCCUUACACAUGCAAGUCGAACGGCAGCACGGGUGCUUGCACCUGGUGGCGAGUGGCGAACGGGUGAGUAAUACAUCGGAACGUACCUUAUCGUGGGGGAUAACGCAGCGAAAGCUGUGCUAAUACCGCAUACGCCCUGAGGGGGAAGGCGGGGGAUCGCAAGACCUCGCGCGAUUAGAGCGGCCGAUGCCUGAUUAGCUUGUUGGUGGGGUAAAAGACCACCAAGGCGACGAUCAGUAGCUGGUCUGAGAGGACGAUCAGCCACACUGGGACUGAGACACGGCCCAGACUCCUACGGGAGGCAGCAGUGGGGAAUUUUGGACAAUGGGGGCAACCCUGAUCCAGCAAUGCCGCGUGAGUGAAGAAGGCCUUCGGGUUGUAAAGCUCUUUUGUCAGGGAAGAAACACCGGCUCUAACACAGUCUGGGAAUGACGGUACCUGAAGAAUAAGCACCGGCUAACUACGUGCCAGCCGCCGCGGUAA
This 501-nucleotide ribosomal RNA is filed under the name uncultured bacterium. RNAcentral describes it as "partial 16S ribosomal RNA". It matches the Rfam family "Bacterial small subunit ribosomal RNA", at positions 29 to 523 of the family's 1533-position model. The record is from RNAcentral.